RNAcentral lists this long non-coding RNA (692 nucleotides) under Monodelphis domestica (gray short-tailed opossum). Its description in RNAcentral is "lncRNA (ENSMODG00000037490.1)". The record is from RNAcentral. Lineage: Eukaryota; Metazoa; Chordata; Mammalia; Didelphimorphia; Didelphidae.
CAUCACCAGGUCCUCGAACACAUCACCCUCCUGUGUCCUCGGAACAUUCUCCUGCCCCUCAGCGUUCUCUCUAAAACCCAGGGUGCCCAGAAUGGAAUCUAACACAGCGACAGACGGCAAUACUAACGGCAGCUGGGAUCGACGGGCAGGUGUCUCUCGUGGGCCCAUCGUCUAGGGGCUGAGCUGCCGAGAAAAUGAUAACUUCAUCAGCUGAAUACUAUUGUGCUCAAAGGAAUGAUGAACUGGAAGGAUUCCAUGUGAACUGGAACGACCUCCAGGAACUGAUGCAGACCGAAAGGAGCAGAACCAGGAGAACACUGUACACAGAGACUGAUACACUGUGGUACAAUUGAAUGUAACUGACUUCUCUACUAGCAGCAAUGCAAUGGUCCAGGACAUUUCUGAGGGACUUGUGAGAAAGAACUGUGGGAGCAGAAACACCAAAGAAAAACAACUGCUUGACUACAUGGGUCAAAGGGUUAUGGAUGGGGAUGUAGACUCUAAAUGAACAUCCUAGUGCAAACAUCAACAACAUGGAAAUAGGUUCUGAUCAAGGACACAUGUAAAACCCAGUGGAAUUGCGCAUCCCUUCAAAACACCCUGUUUUGGGUGUGGGUAAGGGUGUGUGUGUGGGGAGAGGGAUAGAAUAUGAUUCUUAUAAUCACGGAAUAAUGUUCUAAAUUGACUAAAUU